Molecule: ribosomal RNA, 465 nt
Filed under: Vreelandella stevensii
Lineage: Bacteria; Pseudomonadati; Pseudomonadota; Gammaproteobacteria; Oceanospirillales; Halomonadaceae
Description: partial 16S ribosomal RNA
Rfam family: Bacterial small subunit ribosomal RNA
Source: RNAcentral
CCUACGGGUGGCUGCAGUGGGGAAUAUUGGACAAUGGGCGAAAGCCUGAUCCAGCCAUGCCGCGUGUGUGAAGAAGGCCUUCGGGUUGUAAAGCACUAUCAGUGGGGAAGAAAGCCUUGGGGCUAAUACCCUCGAGGAAGGACAUCACCCACAGAAGAAGCACCGGCUAACUCCGUGCCAGCAGCCGCGGUAAUACGGAGGGUGCGAGCGUUAAUCGGAAUUACUGGGCGUAAAGCGCGCGUAGGCGGUCUGAUAAGCCGGUUGUGAAAGCCCCGGGCUCAACCUGGGAACGGCAUCCGGAACUGUCAGGCUAGAGUGCAGGAGAGGAAGGUAGAAUUCCCGGUGUAGCGGUGAAAUGCGUAGAGAUCGGGAGGAAUACCAGUGGCGAAGGCGGCCUUCCGGACUGACACUGACGCUGAGGUGCGAAAGCGUGGGUAGCAAACAGGAUUAGAUACCCCAGUAGUC